AUUUUUAAAUAAUGAUAAUAAAAAUGUAUUCAUAACUUUUUUUUAAACUUCCUGAACUGAAGAUCUAGGAUUUGGAGAGUAGUAAUUUUUUCAACGCUUUUUUCCGGUGUUAUAGAACAACUCAAAUAAUUCGACAGAUAUUGUACAGGCUUCAUGAUAUAAUACAAACACAUAUUCACUGUUAUAUUAUGUAUAAGCCGGGUGUUUGAACUAUUCUAAUUCCCGAAGACAAUGAAGCCUGUUUAGUUCACUUGUAUGGAUUUUUGGAAUUAUUCAACGCUGUUACGCAACAAAUUAAAAAGCUUUUGCUUAUACAUCAUAAAUGCAUCAUCAUACUCCAUUAGUUAACAUGCAGUUGGUGUUUACUCAUACUUUUGCAAUAUUUGUCGUCAAGCCAAGACAAUUAGACUUUAUUGUAACACAUAGUCCCUAAAAAUAUUAACGAAUCAACUUCUGAGUUGCAUUUGCUAAUAUUGUUGUUUACUUUAAAACCUAAAAUAGACAGUUGUUUUUUUUUUUUUUUUUUUUUUUUUUUCUUCAGGCGUAUUUAUGGUCUGUUAUUAAUACCACAGCAAGUUUAUUUUAUUUAUUUAUUUCUUUUGUUAAAACCCAACAGCCCAGAGGGCCAAUAACAGGGUUACUCAACUGAUACAGAGUUGAAGAUAGUAACAGAGUAUAAACAAUAUUAUAUAAUAUAUAAUGACUCUAUAUAAACCAAAGCUUUAAUUCUUAAAUGCUAAUUAUUUGCUUAUAUUAAUUAAUUAAUCAAUGUUUUCAACGUUUUGACGACAAGCUGAAGGAAAGUAAAGAAUAAAACAAAAGAUAGUUACAUAUUCUUAGAGAUGAUUAUGAUAGGCUUACAAUGUUGAAUUUUUGGUGAUGUAAUCGGAGUAUGUAGUAUUAUCAGUCAGACUGCUAAGGUUUAUUAAGUUUAUAUUUAUUUAUUUAUUUAGUAACCCAAGUUAUAUGUAGCUUGGGUUUUGUCAUCGAAGAACGUAAAAAUAGAAGAAGUAGUAGCUUGCAUUAUUAUUCCCCGCAGAGAACUGGGAUUUUCCAGGUCUAAAUUAACCUCCCGUGUUCUUUGUUGGACACAAAGAAAAAUCAAAGCAAUCUGUCGACUUUGUUGAAAUUUAGUUGUGCUGGCUAACCGUUCCCGGCAGUUGGCAGGGUGUAGAUUAUUUUCGAGGAGUUCAAGUGGGUUAGUCGGAUCACCAGGACAAAGAAAGGGACCACCAGAAAACGUUUGGUAGGACAAAUAGAAACAAAGAGCCACAGCACACUAAUAUACCUAUCCACCCAUGAGAUACAUAAUAACACACACUUUUACUUUGUAGAUGUAAAGGAAGUAGAUACGGGAGAGGGAGAGAGAGAAAGAAAGAAAGAAGAGAGAGACAGCAGAACAACAAGAGGGGAAACAAACAGAAUAACUUGAAAGGGCUCUGUUGUUCAUGUCAAAUUAAACCGUUGACUAGUUUACUGAUUUACGUUUCUAUUUAAUGGAAAUAAUAAUCCAUUAAGGACAAAGGGACUCCAUUUUAACAUCAUCAGUAUUUAAUACUCAUGCUCGGUCAAAUAUAUUGUCAAUAUCUCUCUGAUUGUUGUGUAACAGUUACAGAAUCUUUGGCCAUUAGCCCGGUUCACAAUAGAGCUAUCAAUUCCAACCGUUUGGUUCUUUGUGCCAUUUUAGCUUAAUUAUUAAUUAUUUUAUCAAAGACCCUUUAUAAGGCUCAUGGUGAGAACAUUCCAGUUUUGUUCUUUAUUCAUGAAUUCCUCAAAUGUUGACGGUAUCACGCUAUUGUCUUCAGUCAAUUAUCUACUUUGAGAAUAGAAAAAAAAAAAAACUAACAGAGCAAGCAAUAAAUUGUAGAGAUUUUGUUUAAAAUCUUGUCUCGUCUAGCGUGUCGCGGUUUUGC
RNAcentral lists this long non-coding RNA (1913 nucleotides) under Cotesia glomerata. RNAcentral describes it as "uncharacterized LOC123261265". The record is from RNAcentral. Lineage: Eukaryota; Metazoa; Arthropoda; Insecta; Hymenoptera; Braconidae.